CAGUCGCCGCGGUAAUACGAAGGGGGCUAGCGUUGCUCGGAAUGACUGGGCGUAAAGGGCGCGUAGGCGGAUGGCACAGUCAGAUGUGAAAUUCCCGGGCUUAACCUGGGGGCUGCAUUUGAUACGUGUUGUCUAGAGUGAGGAAGAGGGUUGUGGAAUUCCCAGUGUAGAGGUGAAAUUCGUAGAUAUUGGGAAGAACACCGGUGGCGAAGGCGGCAACCUGGUCCUUGACUGACGCUGAGGCGCGAAAGCGUGGGGAGCAAACAGGAUUAGAUACCCGUGUAGUCCCUGUCUCUUAUAC
This 301-nucleotide ribosomal RNA is filed under the name uncultured bacterium. RNAcentral's name for it is "partial 16S ribosomal RNA". It matches the Rfam family "Bacterial small subunit ribosomal RNA", at positions 509 to 807 of the family's 1533-position model. The record is from RNAcentral.